UACGUAGGGGGCUAGCGUUGUCCGGAAUCAUUGGGCGUAAAGAGCGUGUAGGCGGUCCGGUAAGUCCGCUGUGAAAGUCGGGGGCUCAACCCUCGAAUGCCGGUGGAUACUGCCGGACUAGAGUUCGGAAGAGGCGAGUGGAAUUCCCGGUGUAGCGGUGAAAUGCGCAGAUAUCGGGAGGAACACCAAUGGCGAAGGCAGCUCGCUGGGACGUUACUGACGCUGAGACGCGAAAGCGUGGGGAGCAAACAGG
Molecule: ribosomal RNA, 253 nt
Filed under: uncultured bacterium
Lineage: Bacteria
Description: partial 16S ribosomal RNA
Rfam family: Bacterial small subunit ribosomal RNA
Source: RNAcentral